AACGAACGCUGGCGGCAUGCUUAACACAUGCCAGUCGAACGAGACCUUCGGGCCUAGUUGCGCACCUGUGCGUACCGCCUGGUAACUUGCCCUUAGGUUCGGUGUCACUCCCCGUAAGAGGUCCUAAUACCGGUUGAUCUCUUCGGACAUAAGAGUUCUCGCCUUUUGAUGGGCCCUCGUUGGAUUAGCUAGUUGGUAGUGUAAAAGCCUAGCAAUGCGACGAUCCAUAGCUGGUCUGAUAGCAUGAUACUCCACACUGGGACUGCGACACGGCCUAGACUGCGACGGAGGGGAGCAGUGUGGAGUAUUAGACGAUGAGCGAAAGCCUAACACAGCAGUGCGGCGUGAGUGAUGAAGGGCGUAGGAUUGUAAAGCUCUUUUACCCGGGAUGAUAAUGACAGUACUGGGAGAAUAAGCUCCGGCUAACUACGUG
RNAcentral lists this ribosomal RNA (433 nucleotides) under uncultured bacterium. RNAcentral's name for it is "partial 16S ribosomal RNA". It matches the Rfam family "Bacterial small subunit ribosomal RNA", at positions 29 to 507 of the family's 1533-position model. The record is from RNAcentral.